CCUGGCGGCCAUAGCGCGGUGGUCCCACCUGAUCCCAUGCCGAACUCAGAAGUGAAACGCCGUAGCGCCGAUGGUAGUGUGGGGUCUCCCCAUGCG
RNAcentral lists this ribosomal RNA (96 nucleotides) under Yersinia pestis. Lineage: Bacteria; Pseudomonadati; Pseudomonadota; Gammaproteobacteria; Enterobacterales; Yersiniaceae. The record is from RNAcentral.